GACGAACGCUGGCGGCGUGCUUAACACAUGCAAGUCGAACGGCAAGGCCCUGCUUUUGUGGGGUGCUCGAGUGGCGAACGGGUGCGUAACACGUGAGUAACCUGCCCUUGACUUUCGGAUAACUUCACGAAACUGGGGCUACUACCGGAUAGCAGCUCCUGCUCCAUGGAGGGCGUUGGAACGUUUCGGCGGUUGGGGAUGGAUUCGCGGCUUACCAGCUUGUUGGUGGGGUAGUGGAUUACCAAGGCUUUGACGGGUACCCGGCCUGGGAGGGUGAACGGGCACAUUGGGACUGAGAGACGGACCAGACGCGUACGGGAGGCAGCAGUGGGGAAUAUGGCACAAUGGGAGGAAGCCUGAUGCAGCAGCGUUGCGUGCGGGAUGACGUCCUUCGGGUUGAAAACCGCUUUCGCCUGUGACGAAGCGGGAGUGACGGUAAUGGGCAAAGAAGCACCGGCUAACUACGUG
This 468-nucleotide ribosomal RNA is filed under the name uncultured bacterium. RNAcentral's name for it is "partial 16S ribosomal RNA". It matches the Rfam family "Bacterial small subunit ribosomal RNA", at positions 28 to 507 of the family's 1533-position model. The record is from RNAcentral.